AUGGUUCAACCCAUCUGUCUUUGUGAACAACCUUUCAGUUACUCGCAAGAUGCACAACCACAGUUUUGGCAUCUACUGGGAGGUAUUGCAUAUUGUUCUGAUCAGAGGAAGCUGGAAAACAGUGGUUCACAUAAUUUAGUUGCAAGCUCCAAGGCAGGUGCAUGUUCACCUACUGAUAGGUACAUGGUGCUUGUGCAAUUGUUGACUCAUGUGAUCAUGCGUAAGGAAGCAGUACCCAGCCUAGUUCUUCAGUAUGCUCCAUGUACCAUGAUCCUAUUAUUGCCUUGGUAUGCAAUCUGUGAUUCACGAGAGAUGGACCCGGUGAUUUGUACCAAAGCUUGGGCGAAAUGCUGCUGUCAGCAUCUUACAUCAACAAAACCCUGUAAACUGUCGCUGGACAAAGGACGUCUAAACUGUGACAUUUUUUAUGGAGGAAUCAAUUCGGAAUUGUGGCACCCAUCGAGUAUGCAGUGUGUCCAGCCACCAAAUUUUGCUCUGACAUAUCCGAAAUGGGAUGCAGUAUGUGCUGCUGUUGUUCAUAUGUUUAAGCAGAGCACUACUCAGGACUGGGGGCGGCUGCUUUAUUUCAACCAGAGACCACCUGAUAUGUGUUUUGGAAUAGCAAAAUCCAGUACAAUCAGUCUGCGUAUUCCUGCUGUAUUUGUCUGGUUGAUUCCCACCUAUGCAAUCAUACAUAUUGCUGGCGCUCAGUGCAUGUGUUUGUGCAGUGCGCCAUGCUUGUUUGGAAAAUGGUGGAGCAAUAGAGAUCUGGUGUAUACAAUACAAGAAUGGACAUUUUACAAAAAUCACGUACUGGAGCAUGCUACUGUGGGUAAUAUUCCUAGUCCUGGAAAAUUGCAGAAGACAAUGCAGACUCUGAACAUCUUAGUAUGGUGGCAAUUUCGGGCUUAA
Molecule: ribosomal RNA, 912 nt
Filed under: Triticum aestivum (bread wheat)
Lineage: Eukaryota; Viridiplantae; Streptophyta; Magnoliopsida; Poales; Poaceae
Description: partial small subunit ribosomal RNA
Source: RNAcentral